This 11830-nucleotide long non-coding RNA is filed under the name Daucus carota (carrot). Its description in RNAcentral is "long non-coding RNA (DCAR_LNC000478)". The record is from RNAcentral. Lineage: Eukaryota; Viridiplantae; Streptophyta; Magnoliopsida; Apiales; Apiaceae.
CGAAAUCGACAAGAACAAUUCAUCACCGCCAAAUGAGAACUUAAUUAUACACGAGAAUGUUAAGAUUUACAUACCAGCAAUCCUCUUCACGAAUUCGGCAAACCAAAUAACGUAAUUUGCCACUAUUAGCUUCACUUCUUUCCAUUCUCUUGAAGCAAAGUUCUUAAAAACUUAAAAGGAGAUAAAAAGAAAGUGGUUCGAGGAAUGGAGAUUGAUUUUCCUUACCACCGUACAAUAACUCUAAAGUUUGCGACUUUAAAGUUUGUUGAAACACAAAAGUAUAUAAAGAGUGAGAUGGAUGAGUCUGGGGUGACGUCAGCGUGUUGACGUAGCUUAAAGAAAAUAGAAUAGUAAAAGCAGGAUUAUGUUUGUGAAUACCGGGGGUGGGCUUCAUAUAUACAAAUUUAUCCUUGGGAAAUUGUAGUUGGGCAUAAAAAAAUGUUAUUUCAAAGUUGUAGCUCAUAUAUGAAGUAAAAUAAAGUAAUUAAAAUAUACUCACUCCAUCCCAUAAAGUAUGAGCUAAUCAAUUUUACGCACAUUUCAGAAAUUUGAGUAUGACUAUCCGAUAUGUAUUUGCAUUCACAAAAAGAUGAGUUAGUGGAUGAUGACUAAGCAUUUACUUGAAUAUGUGGUUAUAGCUGCUUAGUCAUUAUCCACUAACUCAUCUUUUUGUGAAUGCAAAUACAUAUCAAUAGUCAUACUCAAAUUUCUUAAAUGUGCGUAAAAUUGAUUAGUUCAUGCUUUAUGGGAUGGAGUUAGUAUAUUUUGAUUAGUUUAUUUUACUUCAUAUAUGAGCUACAACUUUAAAAUAACAUUUUUAUGCCCAAUUACAAUUUCCUAAGGAUAAAUUUGUAUAUAUGAAGCCCACCCCAGUAUUCACAAACAUACUCCUACUUUUACUAUUCUAUUUUCUUUAACCUCCGUCAACACGUUGACGUUACCCCAGAAUCAUCCAUCUCACUCUUUAUAUACUUUUGUGUUCCAACAAACUUUAAAGUCGCAAACUUUAGAGUUAUUAUACGCUGGUAAGGAAAAUCAAUCUCCAUUCUUCAAACCACUUUCUUUUUAUAUCCUUUUAAUUUUAAGAACUUUACUCUUAGAGAGUGGAAAGAAGUGGAACCGAAUGUGGCAAAUUCCCUCUGAAUUACGUUAUUUGGUUUGCCGAAUUUGUGAAGAGGAUUGUUGGUAUGUAAAUCUUCCAAUUUUCAUGUAUAUUAAGUUAUUCUCAUGAAGUGGUGAUGAACUCUUCUUGUCGAUUUCGUUAUGAUUUAGCAUGUAUUACUUUUUCUUUUCCGAAGUAAUUUUAUCUUUGCUUGUUCAUCUGUGUUUAAUGAAAUUUUAAUUUGUGACUAGUUGAUUUGUCUUUUGAUUUAUCGAAAAUUACUUUAAAUAGAAAAUGAAUAAAUCCACAAUCUGUGGUUUGGAGUCUUAUUUGGCCUAAAGUUUAAUUGUCGUUUAGUACAAUGAAGAUAUAAAGAUUUAAAUUUUAAUUAUGGGAGUCAUGUAAUGUAUUUAAAUUGUGCUGAUGGGAUUAGAGUCUUAAGAUUUGCAAGGAGUUGAGGAAGUUCAUGUGAUUCCUAUGUAGUUGUUGUGGAUAUCUUAGUAAACGACAAUGAAGAUAUAAAGAUUUAAAUUUUAAUUAUGGGAGUCAUGUAAUGUAUUUAAAUUGUGCUGAUGGGAUUAGAGUCUUACGAUUUGCAAGGAGUUAAGGAAGUUGAUGUGAUUCCUAUGUAGUUGUUGUAGAUAUCUUAGUUUCUUUGAUUAUACUCUUUAAUAUUGGGGAAAAAAGCAGUUCAAAUAUUGGCAUUGAGGCAUAAAUAGAAAAAAAAUGAGUUUAAUCCAAACUAUAGUGAGUAUAAUCAUCUUCUGAUUAUAUGAUUUGUAAAUCACCAGUUAUGAUUACUACUCGGUAUAUUUUGGAUUUACUCAUAUUUUCUUCUAUACAUGCCCACGAACUACUUUAUUUCCUGUAUUACGGAGCACAAACAAAGAAAGUAAAAUAUCCACAAAAGCCACAUAGGAAUCGCAUCAAGUUCCUCAACUCUUUGCAAAUCUUAUAACUCUAACCCCAAUAGCACUUUAAAUAAAUUACAUGACUCCCGGAUUUAAAAGUUGAAUGUUUAUAUCUUCAUUUGUACUAAGCGAAAAUUAAAUUCUAGGUCAAAUAAGAUUCCGACACUGUAGGUCGGGGAUUUAAACAUUCCCUAUCUACACUCAUUUUUAGUAAAUCAAAUUACAAACCAACUAGUUCCGAAUUAUAAUAUCAUCAAACACAAAUGAACAAGCAAACAUAAAAUUACUUUGCAAAAACAACAGGUAGCUCAUACCAAACCAUAACGAAAUCGACAGGAACAGUUCAGCACCACCAAAUCAGAACUUAAUAUACAUGAGAAUUUGAAGAUUACAUACCAGCAAUCCUCUUCACGUAUUGGGAAUACCAAAUAACGUAAUUCACAUCAGGGAAUUCUCCAAUAUUUGCUUCACUGCUUUCCAUUCUCUUAAAUCAAAGUUCCUAAAGACUUCAAAUUAAAAAGAGAUAAAAAGAAAGUGGUUUACGACUUUAAAGUUUGUUGGAACACAAAAGUAUAUAAAAAGUAUAUGUGUUCUAAAGCAAGAACUUAGAGAAUUUCAGACAAUUAUACAAAAGUUCUGCUUUUCUUGCUGAGGCUUCAACUUUGUUUACAUAGUAAUUAUGUAAGUGAAUAUAUAAUUUUCUCCAUCCAUUACCUAGUACCUACUCUCCAUGAGUUUCUGUAAAUGCUUUGCCGAUUCACAUCUGGGGUUUACAAUUACGAGCCCAGAGUAUCUCCCGUACAUUUCAAUCAACGCCGUAUGAACAAACAAAUCAGACCCAAAACCUCUAAUCAUCAGUAUCUAAAGUAUCUGGUUGGGGACUUGUGUCAAACAGGUGGCGGGCAUACGAGACCUCAUCAGUGACCCGUGAAAACAUUUUACUAGCUAUGUUAGGGUAACAUCUAAAGUGGUUUUGAGGAUAAGCAGAGAUUUGGAGAAGAUGAUUGCGGGAGAUGAGUGUUCUCAGGGUUGAAUGUAUCGGCGUUCCUCACGAAGAUCCCGUUUAAUAUUUGAAACAUAUUUUCAGUAUUUGGGGAUAACAUUCUUGAUUUUUUUUAAAUCAAUGACAUAUUGAAAAAAUUCUCAUGAAUUGAGGUGUAUUUUAUUCGAAUUUUAAUAGUCUGAUUUUAAAAGAUUGUAUGUAAUUUUAAAUUACGCGAAUUUUUGAAAAAAUGUUGCAGAAUUGAUAUAGAUUAUUUAAAAUUUAAGUACAAUAUUUCAAAAUCUCAUGGAUUUUGGUGGGAUUUCAAAAAAAUUAAAAUUCACUCAAAAAUCUCGCAAAAUCCAUCAUUUUAUGAAAUCCAUAAAAAUCCAAUAGUAUUUGUAUAUCAUUUGAAUUUUAAACAAUCCAAAUUAAAUGAAAAAAAGCCCUAAAUAACUGAAUUUUUGAGUUUAAUGCCCCGUAGAACAAAAUUUGAAAAAGUGGCCCCAGUUGACAUGUGAAAACACUUAAAAUUGCCCGCAAGGGUUGGUUCAGCUGGUUAAAGAGGGGACAAGUAUCCUCUUGAUCACUGGUUCGACUCCCGAAGGGAGCACGUAGUUUGCAGGCUAUUGCGUGGGUUUACCCAGUGCGCACCCCCGAAGUGUAGCGGCUGUGGGUUCCUACGUUAAAGUUUGCAGGCUCGCAUAGGUUUACGGGUUUUCUCUUUUCUUCUUUUAUUAAACCUUUUCAAACUUCACAGUUUACAUAAGUAAAGUUAACAUUGAGUACACUGAGUAGACGAAGUACAGAGAAAACAGGUUGCGGGUUGCGGGUUGGGUCAAGCUAAUAUAAAGAAAAAUCAAUUGAGAUGAUGGAUUAUAAUGUAAGUUUUACAUUCUUUUGAAGAAUUGCAAUUCAAUUUAUAUAUAUUUUCAAUGUAUAUGUUCUAUGUGUUUGUUAAAGUGUCUAUGAUGAUUUACAUAUGAAGCAGUGGUUAGAAAUAGCUAGUAUUAUUUCUAAUUGAGUUGUAGUCACAUAUUACCAGUUAAGUUCGAGUUAUGUAAUGCAUAUUUGGAGCUUAAUUUUAGAAUUUGAAGCUUAUCUAUUACUUUACUAUGAGAAAUCUGCUUAGGUUAUCCAUGUGUAUGAAGAAUACGUAAGUUUAGGACCAAUAUAAUUGGAAAUGGCACUAGUUUAGGAGCAUCUUCUACCUGAUCAACCCUACAGAGCCCACAUAUCAGAGAAUUGAAAGUGAACAUAUCUGGUUUACAUCCUCCGUUUACCAUGUCAGCGUAUAGUUCCAGAGCCUCCUUAACCUUCUCAUCCUUAGCUAAAGCAUUUAUCAGGCAGUUGUAUCCAACAGUGUUUAAGCGGAUCCCCAAUGCUGACAUUUCACGGACAGCUUCUUCUGCUUCCUUCAAUCUGCCGACCUUGCAGAACCCGUUGAUCAAACUCGUGUAUGUUAUUAGGUUGGGCUUGCAACCCAUAAUUUCCAUCUCUUUCAUCAAAUUUCGUGCUAAAGAAAAAGAUUUUCUCGAACAUAGACCACGGAUGAUUAUGUUAUAUGUAUAGAUAUCUGGAUUGCAACCAACAGCGGGCAUCCCCUGCCUCAAAACAGCAUUGGCAUCAUCAAACUGUCCAUUGGCCACAUAACCAUUAAUCAAAGUAUUGAACAAAACAACAUUAGGCUCGGGCACUCUCUCCAGAAUAGCUCUAGCUUUAUCAACUUGACCAGUUCGGCAUAAUCCAUCCAUUAAAAUUCCUUAAGUAAACUUGCUAGGAGUGAAGCCUCAGAGAAGCAUUCUAUCGACCAAUUUAGCACCUUCAGGUAUCCUCUUAGCACGGCAAAGACCAUGAAUAACAUCAUUAAAAGUAUCAACAUCAGGUGUGCAACCCAUCAGAAACAUUUCCUCCAAAUAUCUUAUCACGUCAUUUAUUCUGUUCACCUUACAAAGCGCAUGUAUAAGUGUCUGGUAAAUAACUGAAUUCGGCACACACCCAUGUUCUGUCAUAUCUCUUAAAAGUGAACAUGCAGAAUCCACCUCAUUAACCAUACAAAGCACUUUCAUCACCACACCGAACGUUAAAACAGUUGGAGAAAUCCCCUUGUGCAACAUCUCAUAAAAAAUAUUCGGUGCAACAGCCGGGCAAUCCCCAGCAACCAAUAUAUCCAGAACAACAUUAUAAGACCUAAAACUAGGUUCGCAACUAAAAACAUCCCUCAUAUCAAAAAGUAACCGCGUCGAUUGACCAGGUAAACCAGCUCUACCAUAAUGCCUCAUCAUAGAAAUAAAAAGUGACUCCUGAAAAACUACCCCUUCAUCUUUCAUCCGCAGCAACAAUCCAUCAAUCAACUUAAACUCCCCGGCCGCUCCAAGUUUAUUAAUCAAAGUACAAUACACAUCAAAUGUAUGAGUAUACCCCAUUUGAGUACCCGCCUUACGGAACAAAUCCACAGAAGUAGGGACAUCAAGGGGGAGUUGAAGCAACUUAUUAAGCUGAUACGGUGCAAGUCGAUUAAGGGACUUUCGAAGCUGUUCAAUGUCAAAUGGUUCAAGCAAACUUUCCCAAUCUGUUUCAGGGGAUGACCCAUUCUUAUAAUCAGAAUUACCAACAACAUUUCCAUCAUCCCCAAUUGAACUACAAUAUGUAAAGAUUGGAUUUUUAUACAAAGAUUGAACCUUUUUGACAAAAUGACACCCAAGAUUCAAUCUUUUGAGCAUAACUCUUAUUGGGUAAUUGUAAACAAGCAAAAGCUAAGCACACAACUGAUUGGCAUUACACAUACAUAAACUUUUCAGGGUUAUAAGCAAUUGUGUGUAUACAUGUAUGUAUAUGUGCAUAUAGAGUUGAAAAAUAUAUGAGAAACAGAGCAGAAUAAAGAGCUCUAACCUGGGAAAAAUAUCUUGCAUAUAGUGUUUGUAUUUGCUGCAAAAAGCUUCUGCACUAAUUAUUCAGUGAGCAGCGGAUCGGGUCUAAAGUCAAAUUUUCAAAUCAAUUGGGUGUUUGUAUGUGCAUAUAAUUCAGCACACAAUAAAGCUGAUCAUGGCUUAUGGACCAGAAAGCUGCUUCUUCAGCUUUUUCAAAGAAAUUUUCUUUCAACAUUGCUACACACUAUGGUUUCAGCCGCAUUGCUUGUUAAUCAAUCUCGUCGAAUUGAUCUAUAUCAUCUACCCAUAAAGUUUCAUCAUCUAAUUGAAGCGCCCACAAGUUUCCUCAUUUCUUUCUAUCUAUAUUCCCAUGUUAUAACUAGUACAUUAGCAAAGGCGUUCUUUUCUAAUAUCUCGGAUAUUCAUAUAAAAGAGUACACAUGUAAAACAAAAAUACUAAACAAACUCAUGAACUAAAUAUUAAUGACCACAAAUAAUAAUCACACAAAAUACAAAUAAAAAAGCGGAAACCAAAGAAAUAUUCAGAAGAGAUGAUUCAAAACUUUCUAACAAUUACAAAACUAAUCUUUAAAAUUUGUGAGUCAUAAAGCCUGGAUGAUGACCUUGUGACAGAGAUAGCUAACCAUGCCUCUCAUCAUUCAUCUCAAUGACAAUGUUAUGCAAGAUGCGGCAAGCUGUGCUAAUACUUUGACGCUUCUCAGCUUUCAUUACAAGUGUAAGAACCUUCCAUUCUUCCUUUAGCCGCCUAUCCAUUGUCUCAGCAGUCAUUCUUUCCUCAGUAGCAGUGGCUGUCCCAUGGAGGUGGCGAAGGCCAUUUUCUACCAAGGCCUCCACAAAGGACCUUGUAACCUUAUCAGCAGUAAAAGAGUGCGUACCAAUUUCCUUACUGAUUGAGUUCAGUGACUUGCCAAAUUUUAGCCUUCUCAACGCUAUGGCUACUUUAUCAACCACGGUCAAUUCUCUAUUAUCGUUAAAUUUGUAUGUGUGUGACUUGGACAUUGGCUCCAUCACAAGAGAGCACAAGUAUCUGAAGGUUCUCAUUGAGAUCCCGCAGUACUCUUCGACUCUAGUCGAGUCUUCCAAGAGAGGAAAAUGUCCUGCAAAGAAGAGAAGAAAAUGCAUUUUUAUAAAUACGACUAAGACACUGCCAUAAUGUGUUUAUCAUGCUGAAAACUUGAACAUAUUAGAUUAAUGCAUAACACCAUACUAGUCCAUUCAUUUCAGUAUACAUACACAUAUCGACCUGUAAACUGUAUAAACAAAAUGAAGCUAGAAUGUCAAAAAUGAAGAUCAGUAAACUGCUGGUGAUUAACACACAGGGAUAUAUCACAUUCAGUAAGGUUCCAAUCUGAAAAGAAUGCUACAGCUUUCAUAUCAAAUCUGAAUCAAUAUGAACUGAUUAUAGGUGGAUACUUUCAGUAUUCAUAGCUAGUUACAAGCUCCUAGGAAAACAAACCCUUACAAGAACUAAGUACAUAACAACAUAUUCGAAAACAACAGAUUACAUAUUGUUCCAAAGACUAAGACAACUGGAAGCAGUUUGACCUUAAUUACUAGUUUGACCUUGUGGAACUGGAAAUAGAAAUAUUUUGAAUGUACUUACCUAAAAUCAAUCCCUUGCUACUUUGGAAAAAAAAGCUAGUCCUGAAUUCACUGGUGAUUUAUAAUUCACAUAACCAGAAGAUGAUUAUACUCAGUAUAAUUUCGAUUUACCUCAUAUUUUCUUCUAUGUAUGCCCCAAUGCCAAAAUCUGAAUUGCUUUCUUUCCCAUAUUACAGAGUAUAAACAAAGAAACUGAAAUAUCCACAAGAACUACAUACGAAUCACAUCAACUUCCUCAACUCCUUGCAAAUCUAAGGACUCUAAUCCCAUCAAAAAAAUUUAUAUGCACAUUACAUAACUCCCAGAAUUAAAAGUUAAAUGUUUAUCAUCUUCAUUGUACUAAGCGACAAUUAAAUUCUAGGUCAAAUAAGACUCCGAACCACAGAUUGAGGAUUUAUUCCUUCUCUAUCUAAAGUAAUUUUCAAUAAAUCAAAAGAAAAAUCAACUAGUCACAAAUUAAAAUUUCAUCAAACACAGAUGAACAAGCAAACAUAAAAUUACUUCAGAAAAAAAAAGGGUAGCACAUACCAAACUAUAAUGAAAUCGACAAGAACAGUUCAUCACCACUGAAUGAGAACAACUUAAAAUCCAUGAAAUUUUAAAGAUUUACAUACCAGCAAUCCUCUUCACGAAUUCGGCAAACCAAAUAACGUAAUUCAAAGGAAAUUUGCCACAAUUAGCUUCAUUUCUUUCCAUUCUCUUGAAGCAAAGUUCUUAAAAACUUAAAAUUAAAGGAGAUAUAAAGAAAGUGGUUUGAGAUGGAGAUUGAUUUUCCUUACCACCGUACAAUAACUCUAAAGUUUGUUGGAACACAAAAGUUUAUAAAGAGUGAGAUGGAUGGGUCUUGGGUGAAGUCAGCGUGUUGAUGGAGGUUAAAAGAAAUAGAAUAGUAAGAGUAGGAGUAUGUUUGUGAAUACUGGAGGUGGGCUUCAUAUAUACAAAUUUAUCCUUAGAAAAUUGUAAUUGGGCAUAAUAUAAAUUUUAUUUCAAAGCUGUAGCUCAUAUAUAAAGUAAAAUAAAGUAACUAAAAUAUACUCACUCCAUCCCAUAAAGCAUGAGCUAAUCAAUUUUACGCGCAUUUAAGAAAUUUGAGUAUGAUUAUUUGAUAUGUAUUUGCAUUCACAAAAAGAUGAGUUAGUGGAUGAUGACUAAGCAUUUACUUGAACAUGUGGUUACAGCUAUCUUAAAACAUACUAUAUAAAGUGGUGUCACGGAAAAAAUUUUCAACAUCCCACGUCACUAAGUUAUAUCAAUGCCUUUAUCAGCACAAACUUACAACUAAUAUUGUAUCGGAAUUGAUAACUCUUUUGUAUCAACUUAUAGUUGGUUGUUGAUUGACGUAGUAUGUUUGGCUUGGACUGUAACAAAUUUUGUCUGAGGUCGACCCUGCCAAAAGUGCCUUAAAAGGAUUUCUUCAGUUUUUGGGCUCGACGAGGACGUUAAACUUAUAUAAUGUGGAAAAACUGUAACAUUUCAUAGUAUGUAAGUGUGGACGCAUUUAUAAAUGUUGUAGAAAAGUCGUUAGCUCUUUUGGUUUGGUCUAUGGUGAGUUGUUGAACCAUCUCCUUCACUUUGGCUUGGGGUGUUACACAUUGAAUGCAGUAUAGAAUUUUGUUAUAAUUAUAAGUAUGUAUUUCUUUAUAUAUAUUCAAGUUGAUUGAAAAAUUAUUUAAAUUAAAUGGUACGAUGUAUAAAUCUUCAUAAGCUAUAACUUUAAUAUAAUAGACCUACUUGACUACGUCGAGACAUAUAAAAUUAUGACAAAAAUCCAAUUUAUUAUAAGAUAUGAUUAUAAUAAUAACCUCAAAUACAUAGAUCUGCCAAUUUGGUAUACAACAGAAAACAAAUGACACGAAAAAUAUGGAUAUCGAUUCACCAUUUUGUUAUACGAAUACGAAAGUAUACGAUCGUAAAACGUGUUCAGGUCAGAACUCUCAGGUGCAUUGCCUAAAGCAUAUAAUGCACCUGAGAGUUUUGACCCGAACACGUCAAAAUAUAAAGGGAUAUUUCUAAUGGUCCAUUUUAUGAUCGGGUACUUUCGUAUUCGUAUAUCGAAAUGGUAAUCGUUUUCCUUAUUUUUCGUGUCAAUUUUUCUUUUGUGUCGCAUACCAAAUUAAUGGCUUUAUCUAUUUUAGGUUUUUAUUAAAUUAUGUCUUCUAAUAAAUUAGAUUUUUUCUCAUAAAUUUAUAUGUAUAUUGUAUAGUCAGAUAGGUCUAUUAUAUUAAUGUAGUAGCUUACGAAGGUCAAUACAUUUAAUUAGUUAACUUAAAUAAUUUUUCACUCAACUUGAAGAGAUACAUAUAUAUGUGUGUGUGUGUGUAUCUUUGUGUGUGUGCUUAAUUAUAAUAAAAUUAUAUAAUUAUAUAAUAUAUCAAUUGUAUAACACCCUAAUCCUACGAGAAGCAAAUGGUUCAACAACUCACCACAGAGCAAUCCAAAAAAGCUAGCGACUUUGCUAAAACGUUUAUAAAGGCGUCCAAACUUACCACAGUAGGAUGUUACAGUUUUUCCACACAAUUAGUUUGACGUCCUCGUGGGGCCCAAAAGCUGAAGAAAUUUUGUGAAGCACUUUUGGCAGGGUCGAGCUCUGACAAAAUUCAUUACAGUCCAAUCCUAAUAUACUACAUCAUUCAACAACCCACUAUAAGUUGAUCCAAAAGAGGUAUCAAUCCCGAUGCAGUAUUAGUUAUAAGUUGUGCUCAUAAAGGCAUUGAUAUAACAUACCUAACUUAGUCAGGUGGCAGUAGCAAACUUUCUCCGUGACACUACGGGAAAGAAAGUAGUUCAGAUUUUGGCAUUGAGGCAUACAUAAAAGAAAAUAUGAGGCAAAUCCAAAUAACAACAGAAAGUCACCCUAGACCCAUCCAUCUCACUCUUUAUAAACUUUUGUGUUCCAACAAACUUUAAAGUCGCAAACUUUAGAGUUAUUGUACGGUGGUAAGGAAAAUCAAUCUCCAUUCCUCAAAGCACUUUCUUUUUAUAUCCUUUUAAUUUUAAGUUUUUAAGAAAUUUACUUUAAGAGAGUGGAAAGAAGUGAAGCUAAUUGUGGCAAAUUCCCUCCGAAUUACGUUAUUUGGUUUGCCGAAUUCGUGAAGAGGAUUGUUGGUAUGUAUAUCUUCAUGUAUAUUAAGUUCUCAUUAAGUGGUGACUGUUCUUGUCGAUUUCGUUAUGGUUUGGUAUGUAUUACCUUUUCUUUUCCGAAGUAAUUUUAUCUUUGCUUGUUUAUCUGUGUUUAAUGAAAUUUUAAUUUGUGACUAGUUGAUUUGUGUUUUAAUUUACUGAAAAUUACUUUAGAUAGAGAAUGAAUAAAUCCUCAAUCCGUGGUUCGGAGGCUUAUUUGGCCUAAAAUUUAAUUGUCGCUUAGCACAAUGAAGAUAUAAACAUUUUAAUUUUAAUUAUGGGAGUCAUGUAAUGUAUUUAAAUUGUGCUAAUGUGAUUAGAGUCCUAAGAUUUGCAAGGAGUUGAGGAAGUUGAUGUGAUUCCUAUGUGGUUCCUAUGUAGUUGUUGAUUACUACUCGGUAUAUUUUGGAUUUACCUCAUAUUUUCUUCUAUGUAUGCCCAAUAACUACUUUAUUUCCCGUAUUACGGAGCACAAACAAAGAAACUAAAAUAUCCACAAAAGCCACAUAGGAAUCGCAUCAAGUUCCUCAACUCUUUGCAAAUCUCAUAACUGUAAUCCCAAUAGCACUGUUUAAAUAGAUUACAUGACUCCCGGAUUUAAAAGUUGAAUGUUUAUAUCUUCAUUUGUACGAGGCGAAAAUUAAAUUAUGGGUCAAAUAAGAUUCUGACACUAUAGAUUGGGGAUUUAAUCAUUCCCUAUCUACACUCAUUUUUAGUAAAUCAAAAUACAAACCAACCAGUCCCGAAUUAUAAUUUCAUCAAACACAGAUGAACAAGCAUACAUAAAAUUACUUUGCAAAAACAACAGGUAGCACAUACCAAAACAUAACGAAAUCGACAGGAACAGUUGAGCACCACCAAAUCAGAACUUUAUAUACAUGAGAAUUUAAAGAUUAACAUACCAGAAAUCCUCUUCACGAAUUCAGCAAACCAAAUAACGUAAUUCACAUCAGGGAAUUCUCCAAUAUUUGCUUCACUGCUUUCCAUUCUCUUAAAUCAAAGUUUUUAAAAACUUCAAAUUAGAAAGAGAUAAAAAAAAAAAGUGGUUCGAGGAAUGAAGAUUGUUUUUCCUUACCACCGGAGAAUAACUCUAAAGUUUGCGACUUUAAAGUUUGUUGGAACACAAAGGUAUAUAAAAAGUAUAUGUGUUCUAAAGCAAGAACUUAGAGAAUUUCAGACAAUGAUACAAAAGUUCUGCUUUUCUUGCUGAGGCUUCAACAUU